CGUUGCCUACGGGGGGCAGCAGUAGGGAAUCUUCCACAAUGGGCGAAAGCCUGAUGGAGCAACGCCGCGUGGGUGAAGAAGGUCUUCGGAUCGUAAAACCCUGUUGUUAGAGAAGAAAGUGCGUGAGAGUAACUGUUCACGUUUCGACGGUAUCUAACCAGAAAGCCACGGCUAACUACGUGCCAGCAGCCGCGGUAAUACGUAGGUGGCAAGCGUUAUCCGGAUUUAUUGGUCGUACAGGGAACGCAUGCGGUCUUUUAAGUCUGAUGUGAAAUCCUUCGGCUUAACCGGAGUAGUGCAUUGGG
This 305-nucleotide ribosomal RNA is filed under the name uncultured bacterium. RNAcentral's name for it is "bacterial SSU rRNA". It matches the Rfam family "Bacterial small subunit ribosomal RNA", at positions 333 to 630 of the family's 1533-position model. The record is from RNAcentral.